Small nuclear RNA from Amphiprion ocellaris (clown anemonefish), 116 nucleotides. Its record names the gene U2. It matches the Rfam family "U2 spliceosomal RNA". From Rfam's summary of the family: U2 is a small nuclear RNA (snRNA) component of the spliceosome (involved in pre-mRNA splicing). Complementary binding between U2 snRNA (in an area lying towards the 5' end but 3' to hairpin I) and the branchpoint sequence (BPS) of the intron results the bulging out of an unpaired adenosine, on the BPS, which initiates a nucleophilic attack at the intronic 5' splice site, thus starting the first of two transesterification reactions that mediate splicing. Lineage: Eukaryota; Metazoa; Chordata; Actinopteri; Pomacentridae. The record is from Ensembl.
AUCACUUCUCUGCCUUCUGGCUAAGAUCAAGUCUCGUAUCUGUUCUUAUUUCUAUCAAGCAAACAAAGAAAACCCAACUUGAAUUUCCCUUGGGACCAAUAAAGUUUCUACCUCCC